UUUCUAAUAAUUCAACGGUCCGGAGUCAAUUAUUCCGCUUAUACUACGGUUGCCACACUUCAAGACAUCGAUCAGAUGAUAUAUUUCAAGGGAUUCGUCCAGUUUUUCUACUUAAAUCGCUAUUGUGAGUAGGAUUAUUUCUUCCGCAUCUCAUCCAACGACUCUUUUGCUAGUUCCAAAACGUCAUUUUAAAGAUGGCAAUGGAGGCUUGAGCUGUUGAUAGCAAACUAAUGCAGUUAAUAAUGAAGUUAUUAGAAAGAGAGCGAGAGAGACAGAGACAAAGAGAAACAGAGAGAGAGAGAGAGAGCUUGUAUGAAUUACGCUACGUCUGUGUGUCCCUCAACAGUGUUCUAAAGCACCGUCUCGAAACUACUAGUCUGCUUUAAGAUGCAGCGCUGUUAUUACCUCGCUAGUGAGAAAUGUCAUGUGUAGCCUUUAAGUUGGUACACUAGGCUAACUAAUACUGCUGCAGCCCAGUUGUUGAAAGUUUCAUAUUCACCGUAAAUAUUAAAAUUUACUUUCGUGUUGUUGUUUUUGUUAGUCCUGUGUGCUGUAUAGGUACUGUAUGCUAAUUUCCGUUAUUACAGUUAACUAUGCGAAGUGAUAUGGAACUGUAAUGUGGUCAAGAGAGCUACCUGGAACUACGUUCGCCUUGCGUUUAUCUGAAAAUAAUUGCACACCUCAGAACGUUCGUCAGCCAAUCAGAUUCAAGCAUUCAACGGUCCCGUAGUAUAAGCAUAAUUAAUAAUCCGUUUGAUAAGGGAGAAGCAAACACAAGCGAUUCAUGAGUGCAUCGUACGUAUUUUAAGAGCAAGUGAAGGUGAAAGACGUUGACUAUUAAGGUGCCCUCCCCAGCCCCCAGGAAACAUUCUAUUUUAAAUAAAUAAUAUAUAUAUAUAUCUCA
Long non-coding RNA from Brienomyrus brachyistius, 904 nucleotides. RefSeq lists it as uncharacterized. NCBI's taxonomy places the organism in Eukaryota, Metazoa, Chordata, Actinopteri, Osteoglossiformes, Mormyridae. The record is from RefSeq and is a predicted model, not a curated record. The transcript is spliced from 2 exons.